This 1521-nucleotide long non-coding RNA is filed under the name Olea europaea subsp. europaea. Lineage: Eukaryota; Viridiplantae; Streptophyta; Magnoliopsida; Lamiales; Oleaceae. The record is from RNAcentral.
GCAAUUUCUAUUAAGUUAGGGCUUUUAAUUGGAUGUUUGAUAUAUUGCACUAUUAACUUGUUAGUGAAAUUUGUUUACUUGCUAGUUGCUACGUUGGACUUAUUCUGGAUAACAUGUCCCCCUCAUCUGAAUUUCUUUACUUGUUUUCAGUUCAAGGUACUUGGUUCUCAGAUACUUUGUGUCUCUUCUGCUGUUUUCAUUAGAUUUGUUUUUUAACGAUGAAGAAGUUGUAUACUGGCUUGAUUUUGUUUUCCCAUGGGCCAUAUAAAUAUAUUUGGGGGAGGAAUAACAUGUUGAACUAUUUGAUAUCUAUGUUUUGUUUGAUUUGUGUACAUUUAUGAGAAAUUUUGAACAUUUUUUGUACCAAGUAAUGCAAGAACACUCAUCAUGUAGCAUAAUUGACUGAAGUGUUGAGAUAUUGAAGGGAUGGAAGUGAAGCUAAUAAGAUAAAAAUGUUUGUUGUAGUUUCACACUGUGAUCGUAGUGAUUUCCCUCAUAUGGAAUAACUCUAUGGUUAUUGUGCAGUCGCGUGUAGAUUGAAUAUUGUUUCUUCUGCAGAUCCUUCCAACAAUAUAUCAGGGGAAAGAAAUUAACUCCUCGUUGUAUGUGAACUUGAAAUACUUAAGGGUGUUCUUAGGGAGUGCCUCAAGUGGUAUUCCGAUUGUUUCCUAUGUAGGAAUUCCUUUAGAGUAACCUCAUUGAAUUCCUUUUUUUCCCGCUUUCAUCUUUUUUGGGGGGUGAAAAUGCUUACUUUUUGAUGCUAACUCUUAAGUUAAUUUGUAAUGCUUAUGUACAAGAGGGGAACGACCUGAAACAAGCAAGACCGGUACCUGUCAGUAUUGAAGAACAAAGUCUGCCGUCCAAAAUUUUCAGUUUGGAAAUCGGUUUUUCAUUACCUGUCAGUAAUGAGAACAUCUCCUUUUACUUUAAGAAACAUCCUAUAUAAAAAUCAAUAGAGAGCAGGUUAAGGCACACGUCCUUGUUUUCGUUCAACAAUUGUACGGAUAACUGGGUUCAGGAUAUAUGUUGGAAUUCACGUAAGGUUGUUUUUAUGCUGUCCUAUCUGUGCACAAUACACAUUUUUAUGUCUGUGUGGAUUUAAUGCUCAUUUGUUUGAUUAUCUUAUGCAUAUAGUGUUUUUAUAUGACUAAAGGUAUUAUUUGGUUUUACCUCCUUGGGCUCUAUUUAGUUCCUUUUUUCCUUAAUUGACAGAUAGAAUACUCAGCAAAAUGUUGCAGGGGUUUUUGGGAAAGUCCUUGAAUGUUUGGCCAAUGAAAAGAAAGAGAUUAUUGCAAUUAUAUGAAAGUACAGGAAGUUGCCAUGAUUGAGAUUGGUGUUUUAGAGAAGCUUACAAGGCAUGAUGCUUGUGGGACACGGUAGGUCUCUGCUUUCAGCUUGGCUUAAUUUGUAAGCUAGAAGAAAAACUUGAAGUUGUUUUGGUAUAAGUGGUUUCAUUCUUUGCAGUUGUGUGCAAAUACCGAACUGGUUUGACUAUCGUAAUCAUAUUUGUAUCGUAAGUAU